GCCCUUUAUAGUCAAUCUUUAACCAUUUUUCAUAAAUCUAAGUAAUUUACAAAAUCUCCACUGAAACUACUAGGCCACAAUCAUCUUUGGGGUAUCUAGUUUGAAAAAUGUGUCCGAUGACCUGGCCAUUCAACCAAGAUGGCCGCCACGGCUAAAAAUAGAACAUAGGGGUAAAAUGCAGUUUUUGGCUUAUAACUAUGAAACCAAAGCAUCUAGAGCAAAUCUGACAAGAAGUUUAAAUUGUUAAUCAAGUCAAUAUCUAUCUGCCCUGAAUUUUUCAGAUGAAUUGGACAACUGGUUGUUGGGUUGCUGCCCUCCAAUUGGUAAUUUUUAAAGAAAUUUUGCCGUUUUUGGUUAUCUUGAAUACUAUUAUAGAUAGCGAUAAACUGUAAACAGCAAUAAUGUUCAGCAAAGUAAGAUCUACAAAUAAGUCAACAUGACCUAAAUGGUCAAUUGACCCCUUAAGGAGUUAUUGCCCUUUAUAGUCAAUUUUUAACAAUUUUCAUUAAUUUGGUAAAUUUAUGUAAAUUUUUACCAAAUAUAGUUUUCUGUUACUAAUGGGCAAAGUUCAUUAUAGAUAUAAUUGUAAGAAGCAAAAUCGUUCAGUAAAGUAAGAACUUCAAACACAUCACCAUCACCAAAAUACAAUUUUGUCAUGAAUCCAUUUGUGUCCUUUGUUUAA
RNAcentral lists this long non-coding RNA (682 nucleotides) under Mytilus galloprovincialis (Mediterranean mussel). Lineage: Eukaryota; Metazoa; Mollusca; Bivalvia; Mytilida; Mytilidae. The record is from RNAcentral.